AUGAACGCUAGCUACAGGCUUAACACAUGCAAGUCGAGGGGCAUCAGGAAGAAAGCUUGCUUUCUUUGCUGGCGACCGGCGCACGGGUGAGUAACACGUAUCCAACCUGCCCUUUACUCGGGGAUAGCCUUUCGAAAGAAAGAUUAAUACCCGAUNGUAUAAUNAUUCCGCAUGGUUUGAUUAUUAAAGGAUUCCGGUAAAGGAUGGGGAUGCGUUCCAUUAGGUUGUUGGUGAGGUAACGGCNCACCAAGCCUUCGAUGGAUAGGGGUUCUGAGAGGAAGGUCCCCCACAUUGGAACUGAGACACGGUCCAAACUCCUACGGGAGGCAGCAGUGAGGAAUAUUGGUCAAUGGGCGCGAGCCUGAACCAGCCAAGUAGCGUGAAGGAUGACUGCCCUAUGGGUUGUAAACUUCUUUUAUAUUAGAAUAAAGUGCAGUAUGUAUACUGUUUUGUAUGUAUAAUAUGAAUAAGGAUCGGCUAACUCCGUGCCAGCAGCCGCGGUAAUACGGAGGAUCCGAGCGUUAUCCGGAUUUAUUGGGUUUAAAGGGAGCGUAGGUGGACUGGUAAGUCAGUUGUGAAAGUUUGCGGCUCAACCGUAAAAUUGCAGUUGAUACUGUCAGUCUUGAGUACAGUAGAGGUGGGCGGAAUUCGUGGUGUAGCGGUGAAAUGCUUAGAUAUCACGAAGAACUCCGAUUGCGAAGGCAGCUCACUGGACUGCAACUGACACUGAUGCUCGAAAGUGUGGGUAUCAAACAGGAUUAGAUACCCUGGUAGUCCACACAGUAAACGAUGAAUACUCGCUGUUUGCGAUAUACAGUAAGCGGCCAAGCGAAAGCAUUAAGUAUUCCACCUGGGGAGUACGCCGGCAACGGUGAAACUCAAAGGAAUUGACGGGGGCCCGCACAAGCGGAGGAACAUGUGGUUUAAUUCGAUGAUACGCGAGGAACCUUACCCGGGCUUAAAUUGCAGUGGAAUGAUGUGGAAACAUGUCAGUGAGCAAUCACCGCUGUGAAGGUGCUGCAUGGUUGUCGUCAGCUCGUGCCGUGAGGUGUCGGCUUAAGUGCCAUAACGAGCGCAACCCUUAUCUUCAGUUACUAACAGGUCAUGCUGAGGACUCUGGAGAGACUGCCGUCGUAAGAUGUGAGGAAGGUGGGGAUGACGUCAAAUCAGCACGGCCCUUACGUCCGGGGCUACACACGUGUUACAAUGGGGGGUACAGAAGGCAGCUACCUGGUGACAGGAUGCUAAUCCCAAAAGCCUCUCUCAGUUCGGAUCGAAGUCUGCAACCCGACUUCGUGAAGCUGGAUUCGCUAGUAAUCGCGCAUCAGCCACGGCGCGGUGAAUACGUUCCCGGGCCUUGUACACACCGCCCGUCAAGCCAUGGGAGCCGGGGGUACCUGAAGUACGUAACCGCAAGGA
This 1419-nucleotide ribosomal RNA is filed under the name Bacteroides fragilis. RNAcentral describes it as "16S ribosomal RNA". It matches the Rfam family "Bacterial small subunit ribosomal RNA". Lineage: Bacteria; Pseudomonadati; Bacteroidota; Bacteroidia; Bacteroidales; Bacteroidaceae. The record is from RNAcentral.